UUAUUGUGUUCAAAUCUCAGUUAUCUGGAAGAAGUUGUUAACUUUAAAGAAAUCAGUGCUCUUUAACCUUUGUUGAGAGAGAAAUGGAUCUAUAACAGAUUGGUAAUUUACUGAUUUUGCUGAGAGAAUUAAGGAGAAUAAGCCCACACACAUAGAUUGGCCUGUAUUCGGCAACUCAGGUGUGCCAAGAAUUCCCACUGCAGUCAUCAGAAAACUAUUUUCAUCAGGCAUAAUUUCUUAGCUUCAGGGUUUCACAUAUAUUGGGUAUGUUCAAAUGCAGUAUAAAGCUUUGCAGGUAUUUGUAAUAAAAUUCAUGUUGGUCUUAUUGUAAGAGAUUGGGAUACUAGCAAAAUUUUCUUCAAUGUUUUCUUUGCCUUGAUAAGUAAGAAUUGGCUGUUGUUGUCUUUUAUAGCCGUUCAGAGUUUUGUUUUCUUCAUUGCUGGUGGAAUCUGUUUCAUCCCAGGAGCCUACCAUGUAGUCUAUAUCUAUUGUGCAGUAAAAGGAAGAAGAGGGUUUUCUUUUCAUAAUUUACCAACUCUGAAGUGAUCAAAUCCUGAAAGGAUAUAUAUACCAGUAUAUGCAUCAGGCAUAUUCAAUUAAAUAUUUGCCAAGUACUGAAGAUGCAACAUUUUGAGGAUCCAGUAUUGUGUAACUCAGAUAAGAAACAAUGCUUAGUUUACAGCUGCCAAAACAUGGCGCACAAAUUGUGGGCACCAAACCCAGGCGUGUAUGGUCUGCUUUAAUGUCAACUGUCUACUGGAGAUUAGAUUUCAUAGUCUCUUCAGUCCCAAAACACAGCCAGAUCCAGUUGUGGGUUGUACUAAACCAGAGUCAAGCCAGUUAUUUUGUGCACACCCAGCUUUAAAUUCAAGUCCCAAGUAGGACUG
This 887-nucleotide long non-coding RNA is filed under the name Lingula anatina. RNAcentral's name for it is "uncharacterized LOC106163673". Lineage: Eukaryota; Metazoa; Brachiopoda; Lingulata; Lingulida; Lingulidae. The record is from RNAcentral.